AUGCACAAGCAGGCCCGGCCGGAGGAGCCCACUGCCUAACUGUGCUUUGUGCAGCUCUCAGGGCACGCCACGGUGCCCACCCAGGGGUCCACACACACUGCCGGCUAAGAGCUGUACAGUGCCUAUGAUUAUGAAGUACCACCUAUGGAGAAAGCUGUUGUGAAAACAUUCAGAUAGCUGUUCCUUCUGGGUGCUAUGGAAGAGUAGCUCCACAUUCUGGCUUGGCUGUAAAACACUUCAUAGAUGUAGGAGCUGGUGUCAUAGAUGAAGAUUAUAGAGGAAAUGUUGGUGUUGUGCUGUUUAAUUUGGAGAAGGAGAAGUUUGAAGUAAAAAAAGGUGAUCAAAUUGCACAGCUCAUUUGUAAACGGAUUUUCAAUGCAGAAUUAGAAGUUCAGGCUUUGGCUGACACUGAAAGGGGUUCAGGAGGUUUUGGUUCUACUGGUAAGAAUUGAAAUUUUGGCCAAGAAUAAAAAAUGAAAGAAACCUGUUUCUUCUGAAAAAAUGAAG
Molecule: RNA transcript, 507 nt
Organism: Nannospalax galili (Upper Galilee mountains blind mole rat)
Lineage: Eukaryota; Metazoa; Chordata; Mammalia; Rodentia; Spalacidae
Gene name: deoxyuridine 5'-triphosphate nucleotidohydrolase, mitochondrial pseudogene
Exons: 2
Source: RefSeq, a predicted model, not a curated record